This 228-nucleotide ribosomal RNA is filed under the name uncultured bacterium. Its description in RNAcentral is "partial 16S ribosomal RNA". It matches the Rfam family "Bacterial small subunit ribosomal RNA", at positions 113 to 334 of the family's 1533-position model. The record is from RNAcentral.
UAACAUAAGUAACCUGCCCUAGACAGGGGGAUAACUAUUGGAAACGAUAGCUAAGACCGCAUAGGUACGGACACUGCAUGGUGACCGUAUUGAAAGUGCCUCAAAGCACUGGUAGAGGAUGGACUUAUGGCGCAUUAGCUGGUUGGCGGGGUAACGGCCCACCAAGGCGACGAUGCAUAGCCGACCUGAGAGGGUGACCGGCCACACUGGGACUGAGACACGGCCCAG